RNAcentral lists this ribosomal RNA (253 nucleotides) under uncultured bacterium. Its description in RNAcentral is "partial 16S ribosomal RNA". It matches the Rfam family "Bacterial small subunit ribosomal RNA", at positions 524 to 776 of the family's 1533-position model. The record is from RNAcentral.
UACAGAGGGUGCAAGCGUUAAUCGGAAUUACUGGGCGUAAAGCGUGCGUAGACGGUUAUUUAAGUCAGGUGUGAAAGCCCCGGGCUCAACCUGGGAAUUGCAUUUGAGACUGAAUAGCUAGGGUGCGGAAGAGGGAAGCGGAAUUUCCGGUGUAGCGGUGAAAUGCGUAGAUAUCGGAAGGAACACCAGUGGCGAAGGCGGGCUACUGGGCCGAUACUGACGCUGAGGCGCGAAAGCCAGGGGAGCGAACGGG